Molecule: transfer RNA, 65 nt
Filed under: Fukomys damarensis (Damara mole-rat)
Lineage: Eukaryota; Metazoa; Chordata; Mammalia; Rodentia; Bathyergidae
Rfam family: tRNA
About the family: Transfer RNA (tRNA) molecules are approximately 80 nucleotides in length. Their secondary structure includes four short double-helical elements and three loops (D, anti-codon, and T loops). Further hydrogen bonds mediate the characteristic L-shaped molecular structure. tRNAs have two regions of fundamental functional importance: the anti-codon, which is responsible for specific mRNA codon recognition, and the 3' end, to which the tRNAs corresponding amino acid is attached (by aminoacyl-tRNA synthetases). tRNAs cope with the degeneracy of the genetic code in two manners: having more than one tRNA (with a specific anti-codon) for a particular amino acid; and 'wobble' base-pairing, i.e. permitting non-standard base-pairing at the 3rd anti-codon position.
Source: Rfam by way of RNAcentral
AAUGUGGCUCAGUGCUUGAGUGUUUGCCCAGCAAGUAUGAGGCUCUGGGUUCGAUCCCCAGCAUU